This 1587-nucleotide long non-coding RNA is filed under the name Sparus aurata (gilthead seabream). Its description in RNAcentral is "lncRNA (ENSSAUG00010023662.1)". Lineage: Eukaryota; Metazoa; Chordata; Actinopteri; Spariformes; Sparidae. The record is from RNAcentral.
CUCUGGACUGAGCUCCUCCUCGCUGCCCCUCAGUGGUGACAGCAGGUCGGUGCAGCAGAGAAGAAGAGUCCUCAGCUCUGUGGUCGCUGCCUCCAUCAGAAGCUACAGCUUUCAUCGUGGCCUCCAGCUGCUGUGAAAUGACACGUUUAUAAUAUCUUGAAUAAUAUGAGAGAAUUUCAGAGCUGUAUUUAUUUAUAUCACACUUUACAAAGUACAAAGAAUUAAAGUCUGAGGCAGGUGAAACUUUAGACACCAAACCAGAGACGUGUUGGUCCGUCUCCGUCGUGUCUGUGGCGCUCAGACCAGGUUUAUUGUUUCAUACGCGUCAGUUUUUGAGUUAUUCAUCAAUGUGAGCAGCCUUCUUUAAAACAAGUCUUCAGUAGGAAGCAGAAAGGAAUCAACAGGAAUAUAUUUAAAUAAAAAAUAACUGAAGACAGCUGCUCAGUGUAGUUUGGAAUCAAACAAACAGGAGGACAGAGUGUGUUGGGGACUAUUUUCAGCGGCGGAUGAAUCCACAUUCAGAGGGAAACGUCCACAUCAUCUGUAAUAACAUCAAAGUUCAACAAGAGUCAAUGUGGUCGUGUGAACGGCAGGAAACAACAGUGUGGAGUUCAUUUAGAUUUAAACUUUAGAUUCAAAGUUCAAACGAAGAUGAGUAAAAACUGUCUGCUAAAGUUAGCUUAGCAUGCUAACUGAUAAAGGUCAUGGUGGUAACCCAGCAACAGCUUCAGUUGGUGAUCGUUGGAUCUUCUGUCGUCGUGUUGAGCGACAUGUCAGACCGACGACUGCUGAGAGCUUCAGUGACACAGCAGCUCGAUGAUGAUGAUGAUGAUGAUGAUGAUCUGCAGAACUUCCAUCAUAGUUGUUUGAAGCGUUUGGAGACGGGGGGGCAGCGAGCGAUGAUGAGCGAAGUCAACUGACAGAAAAUAACCAACGACAGAAAGAACUGGAUGCAGCUUUCAACCCUAAAGUUGUGCGACACAGAUCAGGUUUGUACAUUUUUAAUGUUAUUCUCACUUUCUGUGUUAAUUGUGUGCUGUUGGUCACAUCUUCACUGCAGUUUGAAGCUAGUUUGUCAAACAUCUACAUGUGUUUUUUGUGUUUGUUUAAGUGUAAUUCUUUUGCGUCUGUUAGCAUCUGACUAGCUCAGCUGAGGGUUUGAAAGUGUUCAGCUCAGCCAGAACUCACAGGGGUUUAACAGGCAGCUGAUUGAACCUGAUGGCUCCAUCAGAACCAGCACAGGUUCUGCAGGACAGCUGCCAAACAGCAGCUAGAUCUGGUGUCUGAUCAGUCAGCUAGCUUAAAUCAGCCACACCGCCAGUUUAAGCUACCUGAGAAGACACAGACAGGUGGUAACCUAGCAACAGCAGCAGUUAGUGGCUGUGAGAUGGAGACUCAGUUUUUACUGCUGAGUAACUUUAAAGCAUCUGAAAAGUCAUUUCACAGCCUGAAACGUUUACACUGGUCGCAUGUGACAAAGUACAUUUACUCAAGUACUUGUAAUGAGUAAUACUGAGGUACUUGUACUGCACUCUGUGUAAAGCUGCUCUGUUGUCAGUGUUUCUUCCUGUCUAACAGAGAAAGGGG